GUUUGAAAAUCACGCAGAACGCUGCCGUGAGCUGUUUGUGUUCCUGCUUUGGCUGAAGAGUGUUGACACUUCCCAAAGCCAAGAACAAAUGCUAUGAGAGGUGAAGCCAAAAAUGAUACCAAACACGAGAUGAAGGAACGGCACCCGAGCCGAAUUAAACCACGGAUAUGACAUAUUGGUGCACGGUGAUGACAUCAGACGUUGAAGACGGGUUAUUAAGGAUGCAGGAUCAUGUCAGCCAUCUGGGUUGCUUGGCCUUCUGAUGGAAAACUACGACAAAAGGUUUCCCUGUCCAAUAGGGUCCAAGAAGAAUUCCUUUAGGGUGUGAAGACUAUCAAUUUUUAAUACAUUUUAAGACAGAACACAUUUCUUCAGGCAAUUUCUAUAGUCUCUAAAGGUUCUUUGAUCCGUUCCUCUGUUGGAAACCAUAAAAGUUUUAUGUAGAAUCCUGCAACAGAGGGCUUUCUGGCAAACUGUUACGGCGUAAGCGGAAUAAAACACCCGGGAUCUGAUUUAUUUGUAAUAACAACAGUACAGCGUCAUGAUCUUAUUAUAACCUCACAUUCGAUUGAAUUAGAAAUGGAUGUAAUGCACACGAUAAGAUGGAUGUAUUCCAGAUUUUUUCUUUUUUUUUUUUUUUUAAUUAUAUGACUUUUUUCGCCCAUGAAUCCCCAAAUCCAGUCCAUCGAUAUGAGACGUCACAGUGAGUGAGAGAUGGGAUUUCCAAUUUGAAUUCGCAUGACAGUGAUGUGUUUUAUUCUCAAACACUCCAUGAUCUGACCACGUCUUUAAAAAUAAAUAAAUAAAUAAAUCAAUCAAUAAAUGAAAACCUCGGCUCAGUGUUCACUCGCAGGAAGGAAGUGGGGCCGGAUAUCACUUCUUUUGACAGUUUUAUCCAUCAGACGUCAUGGUGUGAAUUUGUUCUGUCAGGGAAAUACCCUGCAGAUGAGAACAUAUCUGCGUAUUACUGCACAAUUAAUGUAGCUGAAAAUCCUUCCAGCUGUUAGGUGUAGAAGGAGGAAUUUGUCAGGUUGAAGUAUCGACUCAAUAAGUGAAUGUACGUUAUGACACCGAGGCUUUUUUUUUUUCUCUCUAUGUAUCGUAUUUUAUUUCUGUACUCACACCCUAAUCUCUGUCAGUUUGCAUAGCAUCUGUAGCACUCGCAAAGUUCAUUAAAGUGUCUAUAAAACUAUAACCGGAGCAAAAUCUAAAUUCGGAUUGGCUUGAUGAUGCGAUUGAAUUUACGGGAUGAAAAAUCUGACUUGUCCUCAUCAGACGACUGGCGAGUCAACGUCUCAGAUGAUUAUUUUUGAAUUCUUCUGAGAAUAAACGUCCCGAUCAAUUUCAUGCUUUCUAAAGCCUGGCAAAUUAUUUAGGAAGAAAGAAAAUCUGUGUCACGUGUCCAGGUUUUAUUCAUCCUUCGUUCUGAUACGUUUUUAAACAGGCUGUGUAAAGAAAAAUAAACCACGUAUUACAAAAAUAAAAAUAAAUAAAUAAAUAAAUAAAUGAAUAAAUAAAUAAAUAAAAAACGAAGACCAGACAAGUGGUUUGCUUCGGAUUUUUACUGAAAAGUGACAUUUCAAACAAAAGUCGAAUGAUCUGAUCUGGAUGAAAUCGUUUGAACUCAUUUAGCUUAAAGUAUAAAGCUGAGAAAGCUCAAAUCCUUGUAAGAGGUUUUUUUUUUCCAUUUUCAUUAAUAAAAUUCAUAAACUCCAAGCUGUCACGACGUGUAAUAGGAGUGCUGCGAAUCAUCCGGAUCAUUCCAAGGGCCUUCGGCUGUCCAUUUCGCUGAUCUACAGAUGAUGAACCAAUUCAGCACUGUCAACGCUUCCUCCUUUAACUUUAACAAGAAACUAUUUUAAAGUCAGCUCCAUUUUCUGCCAUGAUAAAAGAUUAAAUAGGAGCCAGUCGCUCUGUUCUGACACCAAAGAAUGACUUUUUUUUUUUUUUACUUAGGGUCCAGCUGUGAAUCAUUUCUUCCUAGAGAAAGAAAACUAAGUGCACCUACAACAUGAUUAUGUGAGCAAUAUGUAAUGAUUAUGUUUGUUUUUAAAAACUCUCACAUAUACGGACCCCUCCAAAACUAUUGGAACAGCAAGACCAGUUCAUUUGCUUUUGCGAUAGUUUUGCUGGACAUUUAGGUUUGAGAUCAAAAGAGAAGAGAGUUUAGAAUUUAAGCUUGUUUCUGGCAUUUAUAUGUAGAUGUGUUAACUGAUAGGAUGUUCCAAAAAUCUGACAGGUGUUUCUUGUUCCCCAGGUGUGUCCUGUUCGAUUGAUUGUUUAUACGAUAAACAGCUCUGAACAUCUCUUGGUUUUAUCCUUCAGUUUCAGUUGUUAAAAAGGAUAAACCAACAUGACGAUCAGAGAGCUGUCUGUAGGAGAAAAGCGAGCCAUUUUGAAGCUGAGAAAAGAGAGAAAAUCAAUCAGAGGCAUUGCAGAAACAUUGGGUAAAGCCAAUACAACAAUCUGGAAUGUCCUGAAAAAGAAAGAAUCCACCGGUGUACUGAGGAACAGACACCGAACGGGUCGGCCGAGGAAAACAACAGCAGCUGAUGAUGGAAACAUUGCAAGAGCUGUGAAGAAAAACCCAAAAUAACAACCAGUGACCUCACCAACAUCCUCCACAGCGCAGGGUGAAGGUCUCACAGUCCACCGUUUGAAGAAGUUUUCGAGAGCAGAAAUAUUGAGGUCGUACCACAAGAUAUAAACCACUCAUCAGCAGUAAGAAUCAGAAAUCCAGACUGGAAUUCACAAAGAAAUACAGAGAUGAUCCACAAAAGUUCUGGAACAAGAUGAACCUCUACCAAAGCGAUGGAAAGACCAAAGUGUGGAGAAAGAAAGGAUCUGCUCACGAUCCAGAACAUACGAGCUGAUCUACAAAACAGUUUGGUGUCAGUGAGUCACUGGAUUGAUGCAGAUAUUGAAAGCAAGGUGUAAAAGUGAGGGCUCGUGUUUUAACGGCGGUGGUUCAGACGCUUGUGUAGAACCCCGUCUCAGAUGCUUCUACUCAAGAAAAAUCUGGCAGUCUCAGAGGUGUGAACUGCAAGCAGUCCAUUUAAGUGCGUGAGCGACCCGACUGAAUACGGGGAACUUUCCUGACAAAAAUAUCGAGUCACCGAAUCUGAAUACAGCCUUACGUGUAGGUGAAUUUCAUCACGCUAUUUCCUGAAAUUCCGCAUGACAUCAGAUGAUAAACGUCAUAAAGUAGAUGUGAUAAAUAAGUGGUUUAAACCCGGCUUUAAAGACUAAGCAUUAUUGAGGCUUUCUGGAGGCUUUCAUCCGGCUUCCUCGAGCUGUUUGGUGGCUGUUAAAUAAAAAGGACUGUGAACCAUUUCAUUGUGUACUUUCUCAUUCUUUAAGACCCUGUGUGGUGUUUAGUGUG
Long non-coding RNA from Ictalurus punctatus (channel catfish), 3382 nucleotides. The record is from Ensembl. Lineage: Eukaryota; Metazoa; Chordata; Actinopteri; Siluriformes; Ictaluridae.